CAUCCAGACUCCUACGGGAGGCAGCAGUGGGGGAUAUUGCACAAUGGGGGAAACCCUGAUGCAGCGACGCCGCGUGGGUGAAGAAGUAUUUCGGUAUGUAAAGCCCUAUCAGCAGGGAAGAAAGAAGACGGUACCUGACUAAGAAGCCCCGGCUAACUACGUGCCAGCAGCCGCGGUAAUACGUAGGGGGCGAGCGUUAUCCGGAUUCACUGGGUGUAAAGGGAGCGUAGACGGCCGUGCAAGCCAGGAGUGAAAGCCCGGGGCCCAACCCCGGGACUGCUCUUGGAACUGUGCGGCUGGAGUGCGGGAGGGGCAGGCGGAAUUCCUGGUGUAGCGGUGAAAUGCGUAGAUAUUAGGAGGAACACCAGUGGCGAAGGCGGCUUACUGGACAGUAACUGACGUUGAGGCUCGAAAGCGUGGGGAGCAAACAGGAUUAGAUACCCCGGUAC
RNAcentral lists this ribosomal RNA (449 nucleotides) under uncultured bacterium. RNAcentral's name for it is "bacterial SSU rRNA". It matches the Rfam family "Bacterial small subunit ribosomal RNA", at positions 328 to 793 of the family's 1533-position model. The record is from RNAcentral.